AUUGAACGCUGGCGGCAUGCUUUACACAUGCAAGUCGAACGGUAACAGGCCUUCGGGUGCUGACGAGUGGCGAACGGGUGAGUAAUGCAUCGGAACGUGCCCAGAGGUGGGGGAUAACGCAGCGAAAGCUGUGCUAAUACCGCAUGUGAUCUGAGGAUGAAAGCGGGGGACCAAGCAGCAAUGUUUGGCCUCGCGCCUCUGGAGCGGCCGAUGUCAGAUUAGGUAGUUGGUGGGGUAAAGGCCUACCAAGCCGACGAUCUGUAGCUGGUCUGAGAGGAAGACCAGCCACACUGGGACUGAGACACGGCCCAGACUCCUACGGGAGGCAGCAGUGGGGAAUUUUGGACAAUGGGCGCAAGCCUGAUCCAGCAAUGCCGCGUGCGGGAAGAAGGACUUCGGGUUGUAAACCGCUUUUGUACGGAACGAAAAGGCUCUGGCUAAUACCUGGGGCUGAUGACGGUACCGUAAGAAUAAGCACCGGCUAACUACGUG
This 492-nucleotide ribosomal RNA is filed under the name uncultured bacterium. Its description in RNAcentral is "partial 16S ribosomal RNA". It matches the Rfam family "Bacterial small subunit ribosomal RNA", at positions 30 to 507 of the family's 1533-position model. The record is from RNAcentral.